GUUAAAACUUUCAACAACGGAUCUCUUGGUUCUGGCAUCGAUGAAGAACGCAGCGAAAUGCGAUAAGUAAUGUGAAUUGCAGAAUUCAGUGAAUCAUCGAAUCUUUGAACGCACAUUGCGCCCUCUGGUAUUCCGGGGGGCAUGCCUGUUCGAGCGUCAUUACAAC
Molecule: ribosomal RNA, 166 nt
Filed under: ericoid root endophyte B3
Lineage: Eukaryota; Fungi; Ascomycota
Description: 5.8S ribosomal RNA
Rfam family: 5.8S ribosomal RNA
About the family: 5.8S ribosomal RNA (5.8S rRNA) is a component of the large subunit of the eukaryotic ribosome. It is transcribed by RNA polymerase I as part of the 45S precursor that also contains 18S and 28S rRNA.
Source: RNAcentral